CCUACGGGUGGCAGCAGUGAGGAAUAUUGGUCAAUGGACGAGAGUCUGAACCAGCCAAGUAGCGUGAAGGAUGACUGCCCUAUGGGUUGUAAACUUCUUUUAUAAAGGAAUAAAACGAGGCACGUGUGCCUUUUUGCAUGUACUUUAUGAAUAAGGAUCGACUAACUCCGUGCCAGCAGCCGCGGUAAUACGGAGGAUCCGAGCGUUAUCCGGAUUUAUUGGGUUUAAAGGGAGAGUAGAUGGGUUGUUAAGUCAGUUGUGAAAGUUUGGGGCUCAACCGUAAAAUUGCGAUUGAUACUGGCAGUCUCGAGUAGAGUUGAGGUAGGCGGAAUGCGCGGGGUAGCGGUGAAAUGCUGAGAUAUCACGAAGAACCCCGAUUGCGAAGGCAGCAUACUAA
Molecule: ribosomal RNA, 397 nt
Filed under: uncultured bacterium
Lineage: Bacteria
Description: partial 16S ribosomal RNA
Rfam family: Bacterial small subunit ribosomal RNA
Source: RNAcentral